Molecule: long non-coding RNA, 551 nt
Organism: Vigna angularis (adzuki bean)
Lineage: Eukaryota; Viridiplantae; Streptophyta; Magnoliopsida; Fabales; Fabaceae
Exons: 3
Source: RefSeq, a predicted model, not a curated record
UCAACCAUACACCAUGAAACCAUUACAGCUGAUAUGAUGAGAGUUGUGGUUGUAGACGUACGAAAUGCUACAGCUUGAGUCCCUGUGCCCACUGAGGAUGUUCAGACAGUGGGACAGGCCCUUGGAAAUUUUAUCCUUUGGCCCCUUAGAUUAUCAAGAGCAAUUGUAAAGAAGGUUGAAGCACAAGGGCAGGAAGAUAUGAAUGAAUCACUGCAACAACAGUUGCAGCCGCCACAACACAUAAUUCUAGAACAACUUGGUGUGUUGGCAGUGAAGAUCUCCCUUUCUCCUAUAGAGUUACAAAUGCCUCCUGAAGUCACAAACAGGACAUCUUCACUCUCUUUCUUCAUAUGUCAAAGGGAUAUUUUUGAAAUUCUCUCUGGCACUGAUAUGUUAUGUAUAUCAGUACUACAACUUUGGUUGUUGUAUUUACAUCGGUUGACCAUUGAAAAGAAGAAUGAUCACAUUUAUGGUUUUAUUGACCCUGUUGCCAUUCAAGGAGUUGGGAAUAAAGGUGAAGAGGUCCAAAACUACCUCUUAGAGGCUUUUGU